UCCUCAUUACUCUUUGAAUGCGUUCAGUUAUUCCCCUGAUGUAUGGUAAUGUAACUACUCCCCUGUGUUCUUGUUUGUUAGUUUGUUUUUUCUCUUUCUUCUGUGUUUUGUUGUUCUUAACCUGUUCCACCCCUUUGGAUAUUGCCCAUUGUGGAUAUUGACAUGCCUUCAGUGCGUGUUGUAUAUGUUGUUCCUCCUGUUCUUUGUCCUGUGGAUCUGUAAUUAUUGCUGUGCGUUCAUGUAAUGUUCUAACUACGGAUAUUUUGUGCAUUAUGGGGUGUUCGGAAGUCCAGUUUAAAUAUUGGUCGGUAUGUGUGGGUUUUCUGUGUACUUUUAUUUUGAUGUCCCCAUCUUCUGUGUGUUGUAUUUUUAAAUCCAAAAAUGCUAUUGACUGCUCCGUUUCUUCUUCAUGUGUGAAUUUUAUAUUGCCGGUAUUGUCUAUGGUGUUGAGAUGGUCGGUGAGCUGUUGAGUGUGUCCCCUCUUUACUUUUUCCAAUAUGUCGUCCACAUACCGUUUCCAGAGUGUUGGUCUGUAUUCCGCUGGUAUUGUAGUGAGUGCUUUCUGCUCCAGAUCCUCCAUGAAAAAGCCGCACAUGAUGGCUGAUAGUGGGUCUCCCAUGGCAAAACCUUCCUUCUGUCUGUAGAUUGUAUUCCUGAACUGAAAGUAUGUGGAUGUGGCGAUGAAUUGAAGGAGCUGAGUGAUGUCUUGUACGGUGAGGUUUGUGCGUUUCUUGAGCGUCCUGUCUGUUUUUAAUUUGUCUUGUACUAUCUGUAUGGUGGCUUCCGUGGGUGUUCUGGUGAAAAGAGAUAUGACAUCAUGUGAAAUGAAAACUUCAUCUUGCUGCAUUUUGAUGUUUUUUAGUUCUUCUGCCAGUUGUUUUGAGUUUUUGCAGUGUUGGUCUGUGAGUCCUAGUAAUGGUUUAAUUAUUUCGGUGAGUGCUUUUGAUAAGUUGUAUGUGACUGAACCAAUGCUAUCUACUAUGGGGCGUAAUGGUGUUCCUGGUUUGUGUAUUUUUGGUGUACCGUAAAUCCUGGGGAUGACAUUGGCUGUGGGUACUAAAUGAUUGUAAUCCUGCUUAUCUAUUUUAUUUUCAUCGAGUAGUGGUUUUAGUAGUGCUUUAAGUUUCUUUUUCUUGUCUUCUGUUGGGUCUUUUUUUAAUAUUUCAAAUGCGUUGUCGCUGAGUAAUUCAUUCAUUUUUUGUUCAUAUUCAUCAGUGUCCAUAAUAACUGUUGUUCUGCCUUUAUCUGCUGGGAGGAUUGUGAUAUCUUUAUUUUUAGCUAAUGUUCUCAUGGCUUUGGCUUCCUGUUUUGUGAUGUUACUGGGUGGUGGUUUGGCCGUUUUCAAUAUACCAGCUAUUGCGUUUCUUAGUGCUGCUUUUUGUCCGUGAUCCUGUAUUUUCUCACAUGCUAAUUCAGUUGCCAGAAUGAAUUCGUCGUGUGGUAUAUGGUUCGGUGUGACAGCGUAGUUGAGUCCUUUUGCUAGUAUAUUGCGUUCUGCUUGUGAGAGUUUGUACCUUGAUAUGUUAUGAAUCCAUUUGUCGUUGAUGUGUGCGUGCUCCGGUUCUGCCUUCUUUUUCUGUGCGAUGAGUUUGUCCAGUUUUCGUAUUUGUCGGGUUUUUGUCUCUGUGAAUUCCUGUUCGUGUAUGUCUGCCAAGUGUCCGUGUAUUGCUAUUUCCAUUUCCUUGUUCUGGGGAAACCGGCGUUUGAAAGUUUCCGUCUCUCUGUGUAGUUCGCUGUUGAUAUUAUUUAGUUUAUCCGUUGUGCACCGUAUCCGUUCUUUUACCAGAGUCAUCCGCACUUUCCUGAUCAUCUUUUCCGCGUUUCUGGUUGGAAUCGGGUUCUUGAUGUUCAGGCUGGCCGGUACGACUUCCUCAUCCCGGCAGCGCAGGCUGAAUCUCAGGUGAUUCCUGUAGCGUGCCCGUUUCCGUGUCAAUCGCUCUAGGCGGCGAAACUCCUUGAUGCUUUCGUCUCCGUAACUAAUUCUUAAUCUUUCGAUUACGUUCAUUAUGUCUUAUAUUAAAUAUAGUUCAUUUUUUUUCCUUUUUUUUUCAGACAUCUAAUUUUUGGGUUUGUUUACCUGACAUGUUUCGACGUACAACUUCCGUCUUCCUCUUUUCACCAGAACACCCACGGAAGCCACCAUACAGAUAGUACAAGACAAAUUAAAAACAGACAGGACGCUCAAGAAACGCACAAACCUCACCGUACAAGACAUCACUCAGCUCCUUCAAUUCAUCGCCACAUCCACAUACUUUCAGUUCAGGAAUACAAUCUACAGACAGAAGGAAGGUUUUGCCAUGGGAGACCCACUAUCAGCCAUCAUGUGCGGCUUUUUCAUGGAGGAUCUGGAGCAGAAAGCACUCACUACAAUACCAGCGGAAUACAGACCAACACUCUGGAAACGGUAUGUGGACGACAUAUUGGAAAAAGUAAAGAGGGGACACACUCAACAGCUCACCGACCAUCUCAACACCAUAGACAAUACCGGCAAUAUAAAAUUCACACAUGAAGAAGAAACGGAGCAGUCAAUAGCAUUUUUGGAUUUAAAAAUACAACACACAGAAGAUGGGGACAUCAAAAUAAAAGUACACAGAAAACCCACACAUACCGACCAAUAUUUAAACUGGACUUCCGAACACCCCAUAAUGCACAAAAUAUCCGUAGUUAGAACAUUACAUGAACGCACAGCAAUAAUUACAGAUCCACAGGACAAAGAACAGGAGGAACAACAUAUACAACACGCACUGAAGGCAUGUCAAUAUCCACAAUGGGCAAUAUCCAAAGGGGUGGAACAGGUUAAGAACAACAAAACACAGAAGAAAGAGAAAAAACAAACUAACAAACAAGAACACAGGGGAGUAGUUACAUUACCAUACAUCAGGGGAAUAACUGAACGCAUUCAAAGAGUAAUGAGGAAACACAACAUUAACACACCUGUCAAACCACACACAACACUCCGUCAGAUCCUGGUUCAUCCCAAAGACAGAAUACAUCCGGACAACAGAUGCAACACCAUAUAUGAGAUUCCAUGAAAAUUAUGCAAUAAAACUUAUAUUGGGGAGACAGGAAAGAGUUUCAACACAAGAAAACAUGAACAUAAGAAAGAGUGCGAAAAGGAGACAGCUACAAGACAAACCCGAACAAUAAAAGAAAAGGCACAACAGGAAAAUUAUAAGUCAGCUAUAACAGAUCACUGUAAAAGGGAGAACCACAUUAUGGACUGGGGGAAUGCCAGAGUCAUCCGCACAGAAGAUAACAAACAUCAGCGCUGGAUCAGGGAGGCCAUAGAGAUCCGUAAGCGAAGCCCGAGGACCAUCAACCGGGAUGAGGGAGCAUACAUGCUCUCCCAUACCUGGAGUGACAUCUUGCAGGGGACGAACAGACAGUAUAAGGCAUGACCGACCUGUCAAACCAGACAGGAAGGCCACGCCUUCAGAAACAGCAGCUGAUAAAAGAUGCGUCACCAAUUAACAUCCGGUGACACUCUGAGGAAGACGGAAGUUGUACGUCGAAACAUGUCAGGUAAACAAACCCAAAAAUUAGAUGUCGGAAAAAAGAAAAAAAAAAAUUAACUAUAAGUAAGUGUAUAACUGGUCGUUUUGCCGUGUUUUAAAAUCGGUGCGUUAGCCUAGCAAUGGCUACAUUAGCUGUGCAGCUAACCGCUUCCUGCAGUUAGCCAGGUACAUGGGCUCAAGUUGUACCAUUUUUUUAGACAGGGCGGACGGACCAGGGCAUUCGCCCGCCUGGCCGUGCCCGACGAGGAGCGCUCUCGGCCGGCUUGGGAGGCAGACGGCAGCCCCUCCUGGAAGUGCAGUUUUACCAUGGGCCUCAUGCGGAAUAAAAUGACAAAGUCCCACUGCUCAGUUUUACCAUGGGCCUCAGGCAGGAAAAAAAUGACAAAGUCCCAGUUUUACCAUGGGCUUGAGUUGUACCAUUUUUUUUAGACAGGGCGGACGGACCAGGGCAUUCGCCCGCCUGGCCGUGCCCGACGAGGAGCACUCUCGGCCGGCUUGGGAGGCAGACGGCAGCCCCUCCCCCCCAUGGCACGCCCCCACCGUCUACCCUUCCCCGCCUCCUGCUUCUCAUUAGCAAAACGACGCACUGGGAAAAGCGCUGAAAUGGGGCUUUCUCCCAGGAGGCUAUAUCUAUGUACCGAGGGUUCAUUUCGAGAAAGGCUGCGGAUAUAACAUCUGGAAACCUCCACGAGCCCGUUUAAAGCAUCAACAAACCACCAUGCCAUGGGCCCUUUAAUGUCACUCAACAGUCAGGCUGUGAUGAAUUUCCGAUGAAGUUUUCCAAAACACCAUGACCUGGUGAAAAUGAAUGGGACCGCUAGCUUCAUGCUAAAGUUGGCUUGGUUAAGCUAACUUAAAUUCAAUUAACAUGUCAUGAUUAAAAUUUGUCCUGCAGGGAUUAUUGGUGGGACAGCAACUGAAUGCUUUGUCAUAUAUUGACCCAUAUUUGAGUUACUGUGAAACAUACGGGGGAAAAUGUAGCUUUUCAGACCUGUUGCUGCGCCUUAAUAUGUCUAAAUGAGCAGCAGCAUACCUGGCUACUCUAAUGUUAGCAGCAUGUUUAGCCAUCAUAUUUACAUUAAUGGACAGCGUGGUCAUCUUCUAGUUUAUUAUUAUUAUUAUUAUUAUUAUUAUUAUUUCCCAAAACAUUCAAAAUACAAACAAAGAGCACCAUAUAUAUACAGAUCCAAAACAUCAAAAUAGUAAAACACACACAUAGCAAUAAAGUAAAAAAUAUGAACAAGAAAGGGGUUACUUAACUAUCUUUACAUAUGUUAAUCGAGUAAAUCAAAGUCAUCCAAAAAAGAUAUAAAAUAACCAACAUCCUUAUUUUCAACUAACUUUAAAGAUUUGGCAAAAAGCUUGAGGUCAUUCUUCCAGUGUGUAACAUAAGGUUUAGUUUUAAAUAAAACGACAUUUGUGAAUAAAAUGUUUACCUAAAAGUAGUAAAUUAUUAAUACCAUAUUCAAUUUUGUUAUUAUUUAAAAACACUCCAAAUUUAAUUUCUUUAAUGGAUAAAGGGGCAAACUGAAUCCCCCUAGACUAAUAGACGGUACCUUGAUAUCUCGCGCUUUCUCACCACUCCAAGAUGGCGACCGUAUUUCUUGCGUCAGAACAGCCAACUCUCCGUCUAUGUAUUAGGAUGUCUAUGUUCUGCAGUAGUUUGUGGCUUCAUUCAUUCAUUCAUUCGCGAUGCUCAACUGGUUGAAAUCGGCAAAACUAAAUGCCGAUCGGCAACUAAACAUCGGCAAAGACUGGGAGAUGUUGAGAAAGAUUUGAGGCUGAGACUGUCUUCAAUUACCCCAAACAUCGGAGAGCUUUGUGCCAAGAUGCAGGCCCAUCCGUCGCAUUAAUACUGACUGAGCCGCCAGCGCUGCACUUCACAAUCAGAUGGAUCCUCUUCUUUAUCUGUUCCUGAUAUGCUCCUUAAUUGUUGUAUCUCUUUAAAAUGCAUAUGUUCAUAAUUAUCAUUGCGAUUUUUACUGUUAUUAUAUGUUAACUUUUUUGCAAAUUAAAUUCAUUCUCAAUUCAUUUUCAUAA
This is a long non-coding RNA of Neoarius graeffei (lesser salmon catfish), 5555 nucleotides long. RefSeq lists it as uncharacterized. Lineage: Eukaryota; Metazoa; Chordata; Actinopteri; Siluriformes; Ariidae. The record is from RefSeq and is a predicted model, not a curated record. The transcript has 2 exons.